RNAcentral lists this transfer RNA (75 nucleotides) under Jannaschia helgolandensis. Its description in RNAcentral is "tRNA_Val_CAC". It matches the Rfam family "tRNA". From Rfam's summary of the family: Transfer RNA (tRNA) molecules are approximately 80 nucleotides in length. Lineage: Bacteria; Pseudomonadati; Pseudomonadota; Alphaproteobacteria; Rhodobacterales; Roseobacteraceae. The record is from RNAcentral.
GGGUGAUUAGCUCAGUGGUAGAGCGCUUCGUUCACAUCGAAGAUGUCAGGGGUUCAAAUCCCUUAUCACCCACCG